Molecule: ribosomal RNA, 246 nt
Filed under: uncultured bacterium
Lineage: Bacteria
Description: partial 16S ribosomal RNA
Rfam family: Bacterial small subunit ribosomal RNA
Source: RNAcentral
GAUCCUGGCUCAGGAUGAACGCUGGCGGCGUGCUUAACACAUGCAAGUCGAACGGGAAACAUUUCAUUGAGGCUUCGGCGGAUUUGGUCUGUUUCUAGUGGCGGACGGGUGAGUAACGCGUGGGUAACCUGCCUUAUACUGGGGGAUAACAGCCAGAAAUGGCUGCUAAUACCGCAUAAGCGCACGGGGCCGCAUGGUCCUGUGUGAAAAACUCCGGUGGUAUAAGAUGGACCCGCGUUGGAUUAG